CCGCCAGACUCCUACGGGAGGCAGCAGUGGGGAAUAUUGCACAAUGGGGGAAACCCUGAUGCAGCGACGCCGCGUGAGUGAAGAAGUAUUUCGGUAUGUAAAUCUCUAUCAGCAGGGAAGAAGAAGGACGGUACCUGAGUAAGAAGCCCCGGCUAACUACGUGCCAGCAGCCGCGGUAAUACGUAGGGGGCAAGCGUUAUCCGGAUUUACUGGGUGUAAAGGGAGCGUAGACGGCGAAGAAAGUCUGAAGUGAAAGCCCGCGGCUCAACCGCGGAAUGGCUUUGGAAACUUUUUUGCUGGAGUACCGGAGAGGUAAGCGGAAUUCCUAGUGUAGCGGUGAAAUGCGUAGAUAUACGGAGGAACACCAGUGGCGAAGGCGGAUUGCUGGACAGUAACUGACGCUGAGGCGCGAAAGCGUGGGGAGCAAACAGGAUUAGAUACCCUGGUAU
This 449-nucleotide ribosomal RNA is filed under the name uncultured bacterium. RNAcentral describes it as "bacterial SSU rRNA". It matches the Rfam family "Bacterial small subunit ribosomal RNA", at positions 328 to 793 of the family's 1533-position model. The record is from RNAcentral.